Long non-coding RNA from Pieris rapae (cabbage white), 479 nucleotides. RefSeq lists it as uncharacterized. The record is from RefSeq and is a predicted model, not a curated record. Lineage: Eukaryota; Metazoa; Arthropoda; Insecta; Lepidoptera; Pieridae. The transcript has 3 exons.
GUCACGUCACGCAUCUCGCCUUCUUGAGCCCGCAACCCGCCAUCUGCAACGCACUCCCAGGGGCUACGCUACGCAAUUCAUUACUGAUCGUUGUUCAAACACACUAGCAAUGUUCUUCUUCUCUUAUCCCGCUCAGGCGAGCUGCAGCGACUGUUCCGUUCAUACCAGGUACCGUUGCCUCACCAGCAAAUAACAGUAUGGGUGGUAUUGGUUCACUCGGUCCCGGAACAGGACACGCAAGACAUCUUUGCGCGUACCCAUCAGUAUUGGCACAGUCAGUCGAAUACGCUCCCAGGAAAUAAGGAUCAGAAGACCAAAAGGAUCGUAACACAGUAGCAGGAUAUGGAAGCGAGGGACAGAAAAGUUUCACAGCAUUCGAACAUAGCACUCCUAUAGAUGGGGUAAGAAUGACAUAGUCGGCCUGAAACUCUUCACCAUCGGUUGUAUAAACAUAUGCGCGACAGCCCGACUUCAUACAG